This 2926-nucleotide long non-coding RNA is filed under the name Fragaria vesca (wild strawberry). RNAcentral describes it as "long non-coding RNA (FVES_LNC000479)". Lineage: Eukaryota; Viridiplantae; Streptophyta; Magnoliopsida; Rosales; Rosaceae. The record is from RNAcentral.
CCACACGAAGCAGAAAUUGCAUAAGAACUUUCUGUUGCCGUAGAAAGAAUCGGUUGCAGAAAAAUGGGGGUUAAGAGCGAUAUAUGGUCCCAUGCCUACAAGGCAAGGCAAAGGGUCGAAAGAAAAUGAUCCUCACAUGCCAAAUGGGCCAUGACUCACAUGGAAGCUAAAAAUGCUAAAUCUUCCAUCUCUAUUUUGGUGAUAUCAUGUAACACCAUGAAAUAGGACUCAUCGCAUAAUCACCAUCAACAUUUAUUUCUUCUUCUUCUUCUUCUUCUUCUAAACAAGUUAGGGCUGGUGGUGGUGGUGGUCACUCUCUGGUGGUGGUGAUGGUGGUGGGUCAUUUUGGGCACCUCCACAUGCUUCUGCCGUUGCAGCUAGCUAGCUUCCUUCUAUCCUUCUUCUGCAGACCUGACCUUUCAGAAUAUAUAUAUCCGUUGUGGAAUUGAUGGUACUAAAUACCAAAGUAUGUUGCUAUCUGAAGGACUAGUUUUGUACUCAUGUAAAUGCAGUAAUGGUAUUGGGUAUUACAUUAGAUACAACCAUUUUUGCGCUAGAAACAAACCUAUCCUAUGACUUAAAGAUCUUUUGUUAAAACAACGAUAUUUUCUACCAGAUAACUGUCAUAUUAUGUUGUCAGAUUGCCAACUGGACCUAUCCACAUGAACUUCACCUUACAGUUCGAAAGCAUCUAAUGCAACUUCUUACAAUUAUUUUCACUUUUAACUUAGGCAUGCAUACCACGUUCAUGUUAUCCUGAAUCACAUCACGAUGGAGUCAACCUCACAAUUGAGCAAGGUUCUUGACAAAUUUGGUUCACACUUUAUGUACAGAAGAUAAAGUUUUGCCCUCUUUCGUAAUGUUUUACUUGUUGCAGUCCUUGUUUUUCAUAUAUCACUUGAUAGUUAUGGAGAAGAUAAGAUGAUUGUUCCUUGUGGUCUCCUGUUUCUGCUAAACAAUUACCAGAGGAAGUUGUGACAGUCAAGUAAUGAAUGAGUUGGUAACAUGAUGCUAAAGGUGAGGGAAAGGGUGAUGAUGAUUUAACAUGUUGGUUUGUUGGUUGGUUAAUGACUUGAUUUGUAUCAUGUGGUAUGUUGGGAGAGAGCACAUGGAGCAAUUAGAAAUGCCAGUAGAGAACCAAACAUUGAUGAUUGAUAGUUGAGCAUAAUGAUAUUUAGAGAGAACCCACUUGUAUUGCACAACCAAAAGUAAAAGAUUGCUUCCAUUGCCAUUUGCCAAAGAAGAAAAAAAGCUUAAUAAGUGAAAAGGUACAAAACAUCACUGCCAAUUGCUAUGCUCUCUCUCUAGAAGACUGUAAUGAAGUCCUUUCAUAACCCAAGUUUUGACAUUCAUAUCUCACACUAUUUGCUUGUAAGACUCUAGACAAAAGCAGAAACCCAGAAAACCAUUCAUAUCCUAUAAUAAGACCCCAAAUGUAUGCAGAUGAAAAAUACUGACACUGGGAGGGAAGAUAGACAAACAAGGACACACAAACUGUGGUUAGAAUAUGGUGGUGGUGGUGGUGGUAGAUAGGAUGAAACAGAGUAAGACCGAAAGAUAGGAUAUAAGGAAAAAAAAGAAAAACAUGAACAACACUUCUGCACCUGCUCCUAAAAUGGCAUUGUAUUUUUCAGAGGAAGCAGACCGAGGUUGAGCAAUGACAGAAUAGACAGUUUGGCGGGGGUGGGAGGGAAAUGGAUUCGGGUUCAGAUUUGGACUCGACAAUAUAGUGACAUGUGUAAAUAAUGUACACUUGCCAGAUUUUGAAGAAUAGAAAGAUGGGGUGAAGAAACCAAUUGGUGGAAUAUUUUGAAAUUGGGUAAUGUUCUAUAUAAGUGUAAAGCUGAGAAUGAGAUACUACGAGUACUAGCAGGUACGUCCUCUGCGGCAUCCAAGUGCACCAGCACCAGCAGUUAUGGUUCCCACCAUGGCCGAUGACUUGGCUCCCAAGCUUGAGGCCCUGGCAUAGACAGCUGACGCUCCAGCUCCAGAUGGAGUGAAGAAGGCACCAUUGAGUAGAAGAUCACCUUCUGACCUCCAGUUCCAGCCCCUCCACUGAGUUUGCGAUGUCUCCACUCUCUUGGUAACCUUCACAACGCGAUUUUUCACCAAUAAUCAGAAAACUUAGUAUGUAAACUUCGUCAUAAUCAAAAGGUAGAUGUGAGUAGCGAUUAAGACAAUACCUCCUUUGCAAAGGGGUUGGUUGGAGCUGCAUAUCUGUUGCCUUGGCUGUUGAUAGUGGGGUCUGCACUUCCACCGAUGGCAUACAUUUCCCAGUGAGUGUAGUCGUUGUUCACCACAUGGAAAUAUCCAUGUCUGCACCUGCAUUAUUCAUAGUUCAUAGCAGCAUUAACAAAUGCAACUCUGCUACCAAGGCAAAAUCCGAUUUCAAUAUUGAAUAAUGUCAUAAGUAGGGUUGCUGUUUCUUGCAGCCAAGUUUUAUGUCCAGAACUCAUCCUAAUUGAAAUCGACAUAUCAGACAUGGGAAGCUAAAUAUGCCGGUUCUAGUUGAAAAAUUACCUUGGCAUUCUCUGGAUAAGUCCCUCUCCAAAGUGGUUGUAGGCAAUAGUCACUUGCAUUUGCUUGUCCCUGGUAUAAGAAUCGCUGUGGCCCAACAGCAUUACCUGAUUCAAUUGCAUAGAUAAAAAUGUCAGUAUCACAACUAAAAUAUAGAUGGAAGUAAAUAUUAAUCGGGAAGAGGCAUUAGACAUACUUCAUUGUGGUGGGUAAGGUGGUUGUUGGAGAUGGUAAUAGCAGUUGACCCCAUGACAGCAUCAACAAGACCAUCAGCACAAUUGGAGAGGGAAUUGUGAUCAACCCAGAUAUGGCUUGACCCGAAGAUGGAGAUAGCAUCACCAUCAGCCAUUGUCCUCCAUCCAAAGUGAGAUGGGGAGCUCCUCACCAAAGCAUUUCCUGUGGGCUUGCA